RNAcentral lists this ribosomal RNA (356 nucleotides) under Sanfilippodytes sp. IBE-AV20. RNAcentral's name for it is "SSU rRNA". It matches the Rfam family "Eukaryotic small subunit ribosomal RNA", at positions 41 to 368 of the family's 1831-position model. The record is from RNAcentral. Lineage: Eukaryota; Metazoa; Arthropoda; Insecta; Coleoptera; Dytiscidae.
AGAUUAAGCCAUGCAUGUCUCAGUACAAGCCUCAUUAAGGUGAAACCGCGAAAGGCUCAUUAAAUCAGUUAUGGUUCCUUAGAUCGUACCCACACUUACUUGGAUAACUGUGGUAAUUCUAGAGCUAAUACAUGCAAACAGAGCUCCGACCGGAGACGGAAGGAGUGCUUUUAUUAGAUCAAAACCAAUCGGCGGCGGGCGCGUUCGCGCGUCCGUUCGCCGCUCAACCUGGUGACUCUGAAUAACUUUCGGCUGAUCGCACGGUCUCGCACCGGCGACGCAUCUUUCAAAUGUCUGCCUUAUCAACUGUCGAUGGAAGGUUCUGCCCCUACCAUGGUCGUACCGGGUAACGGGGA